ACGCUCGACACCUACGGGGGCAGCAGUGGGGAAUAUUGCACAAUGGGGGAAACCCUGAUGCAGCGACGCCGCGUGGAGGAAGAAGGUCUUCGGAUUGUAAACUCCUGUUGUUGGGGAAAAAGAGGAUGGUACCCAACAAGGAAGUGACGGCUAACUACGUGCCAGCAGCCGUGGUAAUCUGAGCGGGCUGGCAAGGC
RNAcentral lists this ribosomal RNA (197 nucleotides) under uncultured bacterium. RNAcentral's name for it is "partial 16S ribosomal RNA". It matches the Rfam family "Bacterial small subunit ribosomal RNA", at positions 328 to 539 of the family's 1533-position model. The record is from RNAcentral.